RNAcentral lists this ribosomal RNA (253 nucleotides) under uncultured bacterium. RNAcentral describes it as "partial 16S ribosomal RNA". It matches the Rfam family "Bacterial small subunit ribosomal RNA", at positions 524 to 776 of the family's 1533-position model. The record is from RNAcentral.
CACGGGGGGAGCAAGCGUUGUUCGGAAUCACUGGGCGUAAAGGGUGCGUAGGCGGUCGGGUAAGUCUGAUGUGAAAUCUCACAGCUUAACUGUGAAACUGCAUUGGAUACUAUCCGGCUCGAGGAAUGGAGGGGAGACUGGAAUACUUGGUGUAGCAGUGAAAUGCGUAGAUAUCAAGUGGAACACCAGUGGCGAAGGCGAGUCUCUGGACAUUUCCUGACGCUGAGGCACGAAAGCCAGGGGAGCAAACGGG